Molecule: ribosomal RNA, 403 nt
Filed under: uncultured bacterium
Lineage: Bacteria
Description: partial 16S ribosomal RNA
Rfam family: Bacterial small subunit ribosomal RNA
Source: RNAcentral
AUUGAACGCUGGCGGCGGGCCUAACACAUGCAAGUCGAGCGAGCGGCGGACGGGUGAGUACAGUAUGGGGACCGCCCGAUAGCGGGGGUUAACUACAGGAAACGGCAGCUAAUACCGCAUCCUAUCUGCACUACCAUAUGGGAUACGCUAGUAGGGUCGGUAAUGGCUCACAUUGGCGACGAACCCUAGCUGGUCUGAGAGGAUGAUCAGCCACACUGGAACUGAGACACGGCCCAGACUCCUACGGAGGAAGCAGUGGGGAAUAUUGCACAAUGGGCGCAAGCCUGAUGCAGCAAUGCCGCGUGUAUGAAGAAGGCCCUAGGGUUGUAAAGUCCUUUCAGUCGGGAGGCGUUACCGACAGAAGAAGCACCGGCUAACUCCGUGCCAGCAGCCGCGGUAAUUC